CAAAAGCAGCACUUAGUUUGGGAAAGACAAUAGACAGUAAAACAAUCAUAACAUUUAUUCUAGUUGUUGUAAUCAAAUGCGAACUGAGAAUACACUCUCAAAUGUUGUAACGGUCUGCACAGGCUGAUAAGAAACCUUCCUUACUCAAGGACUUUCCCACAGGCAAGGCAUCACCAAGCAGGAUAUUUUGGGUCACCUCUUUAACCUUUUAAACAUCUGCCUUCCUUAUGCGUCCAUCAAGUCCCCUGCUGUACUGACAGGGCAUACGACAGAGGGAGCCUUAGCACAUGGGUGAAAAAUCCCCUCCUCGCUGCGUCGGGGCCAGCUAUGUGGUUUGGACUUAACACGGGGAUGCUCUGUCUCAGGAGACGGCUUUCUAUGGCCUCACCAAGAAAGCAGCAGUAUGAAAGAUGUGAACGUCCCAACAAAGCUGCACAGAUGUAAGGACUGCUGCAGCAGCAAUAUGUCUGGAUAUGCACCAACCAAAGGAAGAGGGACUGCAAGCAAUCAAACGUGGCAGUGAAGAAAUGUAGCUUUUCUUAAAACUGUUUUUGCUGUUUUGAGGAAGAAGAUACACUUAACUUGUUUAUUAAACCACAAGAACAUGCAUAAAGCUGUUUGAUGAGAAACAGGGGUGUUAAAUAAAUAAAUUCUAUUAGUACUAUGGAAUAUAGCCAGUCCCAGGCUCACUUGGCGCAAUCCAAGGUGACCAGGCCAACAUUAUACCAGAGGCAAAACAGUUUCUUUAAAAUUUAAAUGUAAUCCAAGCUGAAUGAAAAAUAUGCUAUAAAUGAAGCACAAAUCAUGAAGGGAGAAGAGGGAUGGGGGAGGGGGAUUGGGGACUUUUCCAACAGCCAUUGGGCAAGAAUUAUGAAAAUGAGGAGGUGAAAUGUACAUUAAUUUAAUGCUGGUUAAUUAAAACAGUCAAUCUUACCUGAUCCUUUCUCCUUUCUCAGAAAAAUCACCACAGCCAGGAUAACCACGAGUAAACACAGCAGCAGAACCUAUAACCCAGAAGAUAAAAUGGCAAGAUGUUUGUUAAAGCUGUUAGAGAUAGCAGCCACUAAUUUCACAUUGUUUAUUUUGAACUAUUUGAACUUUGAGAAAAGAAAAAGGUUCAAGCACUACAAAAUCUCGUCUCUCUCAAGAGAAGACACAAAUUAACAAAACUAAAUCACGUCCACACUCAAAGCUUCAGCGCUAGUACAUCUAAUACUUGCUGUUGUACAGCAAGUAUUAGAUGGGAUCCUCUUCACCUAUGACUAAAUCAUGCUGUUAUUUUGCCUCUAAGUAUCACUAACACGAGGCUGACAUUACAGGCUCUUAAAAUAAUAUUAAUGGACCGAUCAUGAAUAAAUUUGUUGUAUCCACAGUUCGCAGAGGAACCCAGCUGACUCACAUGAUCCUCUUAAAUUUCCAAGUUUUCUUUUCAAAAAAUGUGAUGCAGCUGCAGAUGCAGACUGAGAAUCACAAAAACAGCCAAGCUACGAGACGGUCAAGAACAAACGGGCUCAGUGUUUCUCUGUACUUCACUGUCUUCAAUUCCGUUUAAAAACUGUGUCUGGAAAAAAUUCUUUUAUUGAAUCGUUUAUUUACACUUUACGCACCAGAGACAGCAUGCUAUUUUUCCCCAGAUCCUCGUCCAACAGGGGGAAAACCCCUGAUCGGAUUACAACUCUGUGUGCAUUGUUACUAAACUACAAUCAUGUAAAAAAAAAGAAAAGAAAAAAAGAAAAAACAUACAGAGUUUGACGUCUCCAAGUUAAAAUAAAAAUGUACAUGUCUUAUGCAACUUUGUUACUUUUUUACUGUUAAGAAUUGGUAUUUGGGGCCUGUUGAAUUACACUAGGGUGGCAAACACUACUCGAUCACCAUGCUAUUGUUUUCUGUAUACUUCUAAUUAUGCUUACAUUAGCUUUUAGCUCAAAGCCCUACUCCAUUACUGCAGCUGAAGAGGUUUAGAUACGUUGCUUUAUUCAGUUAUCCUUCUACCAUCCACCGAGACUUCCAUCUGUAUCCUCACAGGCUCAACUGUUGAUUUUAACAAUUUCCACACCAUCUCCAUCUGUCUAUAUAUUAGUCUCAGCUCUCUGCAGUUGGAAGUAGUGAUCCAGAAUUGUUUUUGUUUGUUUUUUUAAAAAUCACAACCUUUCUGCCCCAGGACAGCAGCUCCCUGGGGGCGAGUGGUUUGUAAUUAGAUGGGUGUUUCAAAGAUUACUUUACUUAGAAAUGACAGUGUUUACCAGGGUUAUCACGGAUGCUGAUUUUGAAGCGUCUGCAAUGCCCCAAACCAGGCCAGUUACUCAUUAUGGCAUUACAAAUCUUCAUUUUAAAUGUGUCGCCAGAUUUUAAUAUUUAUUGUUCUGGUAAAAUUGUGCCUUGCAAUCACAGUUUUUAAAGAGUAUAAUAUGUAAGUGCGUUAUGGCUCAUCUCCUUUUAUUCCUAUGACCAUCUUAUCACCUCUCUGCUGGGAACGCAGCUGCAAAUAUUUCCUUAGCACAACACAAGUCAUAGUUUAAAGCAAGUCUCUUGUUCUCUGGUGUCACUUUUUGCUGGCACAAAGAGUCUAAUUUCCUCUCAGAAAUGAUACAUUUUUAAUCUUUUCACACUGUUUCUGUAGUCUAUUACUUUUAACUGAAAGGGGGAAAAAGCUAAACUAAAAAGUUCAAAAAAACAGGCUUAAAGUGGAAAAACAUAAAUUCUUCCUGGAGGAAAGAUUUUACAGAGGAUUUACAGUUUAAACAAACAAAUCCUCAAGCCAAAACUAGUCCGAUCCUCCCAAGCUAGAAAGCUACAGCAGUACAGCAGGAGUAAUCUACUUAGUGUGAUUCACAAGAGCUGGAAUUCCUAUACAGGUAUGAAAACGCACUGCUGUAUUUGGUGUCUGGGUACGUGCACUUAUUUUCCCCAGCUAUAGGUGAAAAAAACUGUAAACUUGGAUGGGCUUCACAGAAAUGCUUAAAGACGGGGUCUCUGUGGGUUGUGAAAGUAAACAGACUGUCUGGUGGAAACCUACUGGGCUGCCUGAAACACGCUUUAAUAUUUAUUCAGACCCCCCACCAUGACCACCACUCAUUUUCCAUUGUCUACAAGAGAAUGAUGUAAAGGUUCUGAAAUUAAACUACAGAUGAAAGUCAUCUUCGAAGUGGACAUCAAAAAAAGGCUAUCCAAAGACACAAAAACUCUUUCUAGGGAAGUGUCAUUCUAGUUCAGGGGUGGACUUAGACACAAAAGCUAAGGGCUACACAUCAAACUGCCAUCAUGUGUGGCCUUAUGACAUGCACAAAGCUGAAAGAUAUGGUAGAUAUGACAAGCUGCUCUCGCAUAAGCCUGGAUCCUUGAUCCAAAAAAAAAAAAAAACAACAACUCUGCUACUUUUCUGUGUUAAUCAGGUGCACAACUGCACAACUGAAGCAAUCUAGCUUCUCAGGCAGCAGGGCAAAAGAGGAACUACCAUAGAAAAAACAGUUUAAGGUGGGUGGAGUUUGAACAGAUCUAUGUGGUGAAGGAGUGGUAGACAUUCACUUUAUUAUUCAUUGUCAUAAAGUGUUAGUGGGUACUCAAGAUUGAGCUUUUACUUAUUUUUGAGUUAUUUUGGGGUUUUAAGACAUUAGGGAUGUAUUGCAAAGUAGUUACUGCACCAUUUUCUGGUAAACCCAUUGAACUAAAGCUUACAAUCUGCACUUAAAACACAUCUUGAUUGGUUUAAUUUAAAAUCCACUGUGGUAGUGUACAGAGGCGAAACUACAAAGUCAUGCUAUUGUCCGAAUUGUCGUGGACCUUAAAAAUGAGACCUUGUGUGUGUCUAAUUGGUAUAAAGCAGACAGCAUCUGGUUAUUGUGGUGUCGAGCUGAAGGUCGCAAGUGAAUAGCUGAAAGGAUGCGCACAUUCUCAAAUGACUUCUUUGACAUGCAGUUUAUGCCUCAGUGAUGAAGGAGAUCACGAACAUUCCAGACAUGUUUAACUUUCCACUUCCAACUUAAAAAAAAAUCACAAUUUAUUUCACUAUAUUACAGCAAGAAACAUGUUUUUCUGAUAUGACUAUGACCGCAGCAAUAUAAAACAAGUCCAUAAAACAUAACGGUAUUUUUCUUUACAAUUGCUUCAAUUAUGUUUUUUUCUGUAAAGACUGAAACACACUCCAGAUUUAGCCUCCACAAAGACUAAGUGUGGUUAGUUUCAAUGCCCCGAGGAGCUGUGAACAAUAAAAGCUGCUGUUGUUUUCUGAGACGUUCCUUCUGUGAUAAAAAUACUGUUCUGGGGAAAACAAAGAACAGACCCAGCAGAUUAAAAUGUCCAUUCCUGCCAGUGAUGGAGAUAGCCAAGUAUUGCGUCAAAGUUCGCACAGCCUGUCUUUUGGUCGACAUAUUUUUAAACCUUUAAGUUAUUAUUUUUCAGAUUUAGACUAAUAAUUCAAUAUACAUAUUUACCAAUGCUACAUUAUUACAGAUUACACCUUAAAGCGCUACCAAAGUUUUGAUCUACUGGGCCAGAUGUGGGGAUGUUACUGGACACUGAAGAUUAUUGAUCAAGUCAGAAUCUUAAAAUUAACAAUGUGUUUUGUAAGAGAGUCCAGGGUCAAGAUGGGCCGGUUUAAAUGAGUCUGUUCUUGAUGGUAGCACAAGAAGAACAGGCCAAGCCGUGACAAACGUCCACAUCCACCUUCUUUCACUGUUUAAUUCAGGUUCUUGGGCGGGGUGCUGGAGCCUACCACACAUUUCAUAAAAGUUAGAGGUGUGUUACACUUUGCACAGAUAGCUAGUUUAUCUCAGGAACUGCCAAUCAACCCAACACACAUCUUCAUCAGUGCUGACUAUCACAGCACUGUGCCUGUCUGUUUGUUGAACAGUCUUGCAUUAGAGUAAAACAAAUAUUGCUCAAUUAUGUGAGAAACUAUUUGCCCAAUUAGUCAACGUUAUAAAUAAUUAUAGUUAUAAACAACUUCAGCUACUACCUGUGCCUCUGCACGGUAACAUCUAGAACCACUAAAACUACAUCAAAACAAAGCGCUGGCAGGACGACUCAUUUUCCAGCUGCCUGAAUACACCCAAUAUUUUGCUGAAACGACACUUUGGAUCAGAGUCAACGUUGUGGGGUCAGAGCUCCACCCAGCCCUGCUUCACACUAACAACUGCAGGUCUUGUCCACCUGCAGAGAGCCUGCUGGCCUGUGUCUGUUUGCAGUGGAGUGAAAACAUUUAGUUUCCACGUUCACGCUGGCAACACUGACAGUCUCGUCUGUGUGGCAGCUGUGAAUUAAUGACAGUGUGAGUAAACAGCGCAGAAAUGCUGACCCGAGGAUGUGGUUUUUGAUCCCUGACGAUGGUUCUCUUCCCCUAGUUAAACAUCACACAGUGCCAGUUAAGGUUAACUGUCUAAUGUUUGACAAAAAUUAUACAUUAAAAAAAAAAAAAGGACUAAGACUCAACAGGGCCCAAAAUGACGCCUUCAAAUGUUUUUUAAACCCCAGAAUCCAGUUUGCAAUUAUGAGACAAAAGAAAAAAGAUGGACAUCUCUUCAUUUCAAACAGGGACAGAUGAUUUUUUCCCCCAGUAUUUCUUCUAGAGGACAAAAGACAGCAGCUACUUAUUAAUCAAUAAUAUCAUCUAUAAUAAUAGUGUCCCUGACACUUUAAGGGCUUCCCAAUUUAAAAGUCACAUUUAAGACCAUGCAGUAAUAUGAGUGGCAGGAGCUCAGACACAUACAUUAACUAUAAUGUGUGACUUUCACACUGCGGAAGUCAAUCGCUCAAAGUUGCCCUCCAUGCUGCCAAAGUGCAACUGAACAUACCCCAAUAAUGAUUUUACGGCGGGUACUCCUUUUAUUCUCAUUCAUGCUC
Long non-coding RNA from Haplochromis burtoni (Burton's mouthbrooder), 5838 nucleotides. RefSeq lists it as uncharacterized. The transcript is spliced from 3 exons. The record is from RefSeq and is a predicted model, not a curated record. Lineage: Eukaryota; Metazoa; Chordata; Actinopteri; Cichliformes; Cichlidae.